This 781-nucleotide non-coding RNA is filed under the name Ghauriana sinensis. The record is from RNAcentral. Lineage: Eukaryota; Metazoa; Arthropoda; Insecta; Hemiptera; Cicadellidae.
AAUGGUUUUGUUUGUUCAAUUAUUAUUAAUAUUUACCAUUAUUUACAAAAAUAAUUUAAAAGUUUGAUUCUUUCUUUAGUUUUAAUUAAUUGGAUUAAUUAUAUGUAUUAUUUUAAUUUUAAAAUUUUUCAGUAAUAAGUUUUAUUUAAUAAUUAAAAAUUAUUUAGAUAUUCAAUAUAUCUGAGAAAAAUAAUGUGCCAGCAUUCGCGGUUAUACAUUUUUAGUAAAUUAAUAAAUUUGGAUUUUAAUUAAAAAAAAAAUGAUUGUAUAAUAUUUAUAUUUAAGUAAAAUUUAUAUUUUAGUAAUAAUCAUAAUUAAUAUUAAAAAUCUUUAUUUUAAACUAGGAUUAGAUACCCUAUUAUUAAAUGAUAUAAAAUUAAUCCAUAAUAUUAAAAGUUAUGUUCUUUUAAACUUAAAGAAUUUGGCGGUUAUUUAUUUAAUUAGAGGAAUCUGUUGUUUAAUUGAUAAACCACAAUAAUUUAUACCUUUAUUAUAUUUGUAUAUCGCUAUCAAUGAAUGUUUUAGUAGAAUAUUUUCAUUUUUUAUUUUAAAUUAAAAUUAGGUCAAGAUGCAGUUUUAUAUAGGUAAUAAUGGAUUACUUUAAUUUUAAAUUUUUUGAAUUUAAUAAUUUUAUUAUUUAUAAAAAAGGAUUUAAUAGUAAAUUUAAUUAAUUAAUUAAAUUGAAUAAAUUCUAAAUAAUGUACAUAUCGCCCGUCACCCUCAUUUUAAGUUGAGGUAAGUCGUAACAAAGUAAUUUUACCGGAAGGUGAAGUUAGAAAGU